This 814-nucleotide long non-coding RNA is filed under the name Androctonus crassicauda. Lineage: Eukaryota; Metazoa; Arthropoda; Arachnida; Scorpiones; Buthidae. The record is from RNAcentral.
UGUCGCCUGAACUGACGUCCAGGAGCUCGCGUGAGCUCUGGUGUCAUUUUCCGAUAUUUAAUGAAUGGACGGCAAAUGCCGACAUACCUGUUCGUUUUAUGCCUUGAGAUGUCAGAGGAUAGUGUAUUUUUUUCCAAAUCCAUAGCAAUUUCUUUAUUCAAACUAGCAAUCUCAUACUCGCAACCUAAAUACUUUAGUUACACUCAUACUGUAUUUAUUAUAUACUCUGUUGCAAAAGAUCUCCCUUUAGAUCUACACUUUAUAUGGCGAGGGGGAUUGCUUCCUCUAGUGAUUUUUCUGGGUUAUUGAUAGUUCAACUUAGCUAUAAUGGCCAGGAAUUAGGUGCCUGACGAAGUGAUGCCUGGCAUUUUCUGGGAUCCUCAAAGGGGGCAGCCCCUCCACUAAACUUACCAUCGUUAGGCUGAUCACCAAUAUGGUGAAUUUUUUUAUUUAUGAUUUUCAAAAUAAAACUGGAUCGUCAAAUAUGGAUUUAAAACGAUUAGAUAAAGGACGUUGAGAACGGAAACGGAAGUAUGAAUGAAAAUUGUGUGUAUGGAAUAUGAAAAGACAAGUGAAAGGAAAUGAACAGAAACUUGUGAAUGAAAUUGUAAAUAUAGAAAGGAGUAUGCAUUUGAAUGUAAAAAAUGAUAUUGUGGCUAUAUGGUCUGGAGUAAAAUAGAAUGAGCGAGUAAGAACUAAUGUGGGUGUGCUGAUGAAUGAUAAAACAAAAAGUGUAUGCUAGAAUACAAAUGUGUGAAUUGUGUAUUGAUGUUGGAGAAUAAUAUGGAUAAGGAUGAAAUUAGGAUUGCAGAAA